Molecule: ribosomal RNA, 269 nt
Filed under: uncultured prokaryote
Description: partial 16S ribosomal RNA
Rfam family: Bacterial small subunit ribosomal RNA
Source: RNAcentral
UACGUAGGUGGCAAGCGUUAUCCGGAAUUAUUGGGCGUAAAGAGCGCGCAGGUGGUUGAUUAAGUCUGAUGUGAAAGCCCACGGCUUAACCGUGGAGGGUCAUUGGAAACUGGUCGACUUGAGUGCAGAAGAGGGAAGUGGAAUUCCUAGUGUAGCGGUGAAAUGCGUAGAUAUUAGGAGGAACACCAGUUGCGAAGGCGGCUCUCUGGACUGUAACUGACACUGAGGCACGAAAGCGUGGGGAGCAAACAGGAUUAGAUACCCGUGUA